UACGAAGGGGGCUAGCGUUGCUCGGAAUCACUGGGCGUAAAGGGUGCGUAGGCGGGUCUUUAAGUCAGGGGUGAAAUCCUGGAGCUCAACUCCAGAACUGCCUUUGAUACUGGGAGACUUGAGUUCGGGAGAGGUGAGUGGAACUGCGAGUGUAGAGGUGAAAUUCGUAGAUAUUCGCAAGAACACCAGUGGCGAAGGCGGCUCACUGGCCCGAUACUGACGCUGAGGUGCGAAAGCGUGGGGAGCAAACAGG
RNAcentral lists this ribosomal RNA (253 nucleotides) under uncultured bacterium. RNAcentral describes it as "partial 16S ribosomal RNA". It matches the Rfam family "Bacterial small subunit ribosomal RNA", at positions 524 to 776 of the family's 1533-position model. The record is from RNAcentral.